GUUCCGCCUCACCGCGAGUACUGGUCCGGCUGGACCUUUCCUUCUGGGGAACCUCAUGGCCUUCACUGGCUGUGGGGGGAACCAGGACUUUUACUGUGAAAAAAUUAGAGUGUUCAAAGCAGGCCUUUGCUCGAAUACAUUAGCAUGGAAUAAUAGAAUAGGACGUGUGGUUCUAUUUUGUUGGUUUCUAGGACCGCCGUAAUGAUUAAUAGGGAUAGUCGGGGGCGUCAGUAUUCAGCUGUCAGAGGUGAAAUUCUUGGAUUUGCUGAAGACUAACUACUGCGAAAGCAUUCGCCAAGGAUGUUUUCAUUAAUCAGGGAACGAAAGUUAGGGGAUCGAAGACGAUCAGAUACCGUCGUAGUCUUAACCAUAAACUAUGCCGACUAGGGAUCGGACGGGAUUCUAUAAUGACCCGUUCGGCACCUUGCGAGAAAUCAAAGUUUUUGGGUUCUGGGGGGAGUAUGGUCGCAANGGGCUGGAAACUUAAAGAAAUUGACGGAAGGGCACCACAAGGCGUGGAGCCUGCGGCUUAAUUUGACUCAACACGGGGAAACUCACCNAGGUCCAGACAAAAUAAGGAUUGACAGAUNUGAGAGCUCUUUCUUGAUCUUUUGGAUGGUGGUGNCCAUGGCCGUUCUUAGUUGGUGGAGUGAUUUGUCUGCUUAAUUGCGAUAACGAACGAGACUUCGGCCCUUAAAUAGCCCGGUCCGCAUUUGCGGGCCGCUGGCUUCUUAGGGGGACUAUCGGCUCAAGCCGAUGGAAGUGCGCGGCAAUAACAGGUCUGUGAUGCCCNUUAGAAUGUUCUGGCCGCACGCGCGUACAUGACAGGGCCAGCGAGUACAUCACUUAACCGAGAGGUUUGGGUAAUCUUGUUAAACCUGUCGUGUGGGAUAGAGCAUGCAAUUAUUGCUCUUCAACGAG
Molecule: ribosomal RNA, 921 nt
Filed under: uncultured eukaryote
Lineage: Eukaryota
Description: SSU rRNA
Rfam family: Eukaryotic small subunit ribosomal RNA
Source: RNAcentral